GAUUGUUUGCCGCCGGGUAAAUUUUAAGCAUUGGUUUCGUAUCGAUAGGCCAUUGAAGAUACGACAAUCAGUGCUUUUCUUUUG
RNAcentral lists this non-coding RNA (84 nucleotides) under unclassified sequences. The record is from RNAcentral.